UCACCCAGACCCGAGCUCCAGUGGCCCCCAAGUAAAUUGAGUUUGAGACCCCUGCUCUAAUGUCAGAUGAUUUUAAGGAUGAACACAGUUGAUGAAAUCAAAAGCCGGGUUGAAGUUAGGGGUUCAAUUACUUUUCUGAAGCUAUGUUUGAAGUUGUCAGACAGGAAGCCGUAGAGCAGCGGGUUGGCGCAGGAGUUGGCGUACGACAGGAUGACUGCAAAGAAGUAAAUCCCCGCAGUGGCGCUGGACUCUGGGAUGAUGACCACAAGGUUGACGAUGUUGAUGAUGAAGAACGGCAGCCAGCAGAGCACAAACACCACCACGAUGACCACCACCAUUUGAGUCACCUUGCGCUCGGAACGCCGCCGCGAGGUGAAGCCGGCGCGCAUUCCUGAGGACUUCACCUGUUGGUGGAAUGGAUGAGACGAGCUGAGAAACCGUGGCUUGGAGGAUCAUACCUGCACAUCAGAGAAGAUGACCACCGGCAGGACCACCACAAAAGACACAGCCCACACCGCUGCGCUCACCACCUUGGCGACGCGCGGGUGCCUCCAAUUGGAGCCCCGAAUCGGGUGCACCACGGCCAGGUAGCGGUCGAUGGACAUAACGGUGAGGCAGAAAAUGGACGUGAACUGGUUCAUGGAGUCAGCGGUCAUCACCACCCGGCACAGGAAGGACCCGAAGGGCCAGUAGGAGAGCACAUUCUGCGUGCGCAGCACCACGUAGAUGGCCAAAGUGUUCCCGACCAGACCCACCAGGAAGACGGUGAUGGAGAUCACCGCUGUCAGUAACGUGCUGCUGCCCUGGAAUGGCACACUCUGCGUGGACACGUUGGAGAUGUUGACGAGGGCAGAGAGGGGUUACUUCAGUGUGGUAGUCCAGGCGCGUCAAGAAGGUGUAACCUCCACACUGGCUUUGUAGACCGUUGUGGACCCUGGCCUCCUCCUCCUACCACCUUCUUCCUGUAGCCCUACAAUAACACAGACAGUGGCCUCAGUAAGUGCUGUUUUCCUGCCUGGACCCAAGGACCCUCCCCAUAACUAAACAGAAGCCGAGCUCAUUUUACCUCCUUCCCCCGCCCACAUUGGACCUGUCCCGGGCCAGACGCUAACGCUAAACAAUAUGAGUCAUGAGCAAGAGGCGUAACACACGUACUUCAAAUUGGAGUCAAAUAUACCUGAAUGUUAGUGGUUAGGCUGCACGGUGGUCGAGUGGUUAGCGCGCAGACCUCACAGCUAGGAGACCAGGGUUCAAUUCCACCCUCGGCCAUCUCUGUGUGGAGUUUGCAUGUUCUCCUCAUGAAUGAGUGGGUUUUCAACGGGUACUCCGGUUUCCUCCCACAUUCCAAAAACAUGCUAGGUUAAUUGGCCACUCCAAAUUGUCCAUAGGUAUGAAUGUGAGUGUGAAUGGUUGUUUGUCUAUAUGUGCCCUGUGAUUGGCUGACCACCAGUCCUCCGGCCUGAAGACAGCUGGGAUAGGCUCCAGCACCCCCGCGACCCUUGUGAGGAAAAGCGGUAGAAAAUGAAUGAAUGAAUGUUAGUGGUUAGCAUGCAGGCCUCACAGCUAAGAGACCCGAGUUCGAUUCCACUCUCGGCCAUCUCUAUGUGGAGUUUGCAUGUUCUCCUCAUGAAUGAGUGGGUUUUCUCCGGGUACUCCGGUUUCCUCCCACAUUCCAAAAACAUGCUAGGUUAAUUAGCGACUCCAAAUUGUCCAUAGGUAUGAAUGUGAGUGUGAAUGGUUGUUUGUCUAUAUGUGCCCUGUGAUUGGCUCUCGCCCGAAGACAGCCGGGAUAGGCUCCAGCACCCACGCAACCCUCGUGAGGAUAAGUGGUAGAAAAUGAAUGAAUGUGUAUUCCCUGAUAUAUAUAUUUUUUACAUGCUAUACAUUUUGUGUACUGUGUACUGCCUUCAGGGUAAUCAAAGAACUACUUGUUAUCAAGAAUAAACGCGGACGUUGUCAUGGGCGGAAAUACGUAAAUCACUUCACACCUUUAUUUCCACUUCAUAGAAUGACUCAUGUCUGUACUGAUGUACAUAUACAUUAAACGUACAGUAUGUACAAUCGUCCCUUGACACGUUGCAGUUGGAAUUUCGCCGCUUACGGUUUUU
This is a non-coding RNA of Doryrhamphus excisus (bluestripe pipefish), 2108 nucleotides long. NCBI's taxonomy places the organism in Eukaryota, Metazoa, Chordata, Actinopteri, Syngnathiformes, Syngnathidae. The record is from RefSeq and is a predicted model, not a curated record.